GUACUCCUUGCUCAAUUCCGGUUGAUCCUGCCGGAGGCCACUGCUAUGGGGGUCCGACUAAGCCAUGCGAGUCAUGGGGCGCGCUCUGCGCGCACCGGCGGACGGCUCAGUAACACGUCGGUAACCUACCCUCGGGAGGGGGAUAACCCCGGGAAACUGGGGCUAAUCCCCCAUAGGCCUGAGGUACUGGAAGGUCCUCAGGCCGAAAGGGGCUCUGCCCGCCCGAGGAUGGGCCGGCGGCCGAUUAGGUAGUUGGUGGGGUAACGGCCCACCAAGCCGAAGAUCGGUACGGGCCAUGAGAGUGGGAGCCCGGAGAUGGACACUGAGACACGGGUCCAGGCCCUACGGGGCGCAGCAGGCGCGAAACCUCCGCAAUGCGGGCAACCGCGACGGGGGGACCCCCAGUGCCGUGGCACCGCCACGGCUUUUCCGGAGUGUAAAGAGCUCCGGGAAUAAGGGCUGGGCAAGGCCGGUGGCAGCCGCCGCGGUAAUACCGGCGGCCCGAGUGGUGGCCGCUAUUAUUGG
RNAcentral lists this ribosomal RNA (525 nucleotides) under Thermococcus sp. Its description in RNAcentral is "bacterial SSU rRNA". It matches the Rfam family "Archaeal small subunit ribosomal RNA", at positions 1 to 507 of the family's 1478-position model. The record is from RNAcentral. Lineage: Archaea; Methanobacteriati; Methanobacteriota; Thermococci; Thermococcales; Thermococcaceae.